UUUGCAGGCAGGCUGGAGAGCUCGUCCUACUCUGUAAGCACAAACGGACGUCAUGGUGUAGCUGAUGCUUGGUGGGCGGUGUUGCUAUUGUGGUAGGUCUUAGUAACUACAAUGAUAAUCUGUCUUGAUUGGUUGAAGCAGUUAUGAAAUGUGUCAGGUCAGGAAUGAAGCAGCACUAAAUGAUUGCUCCAAUGCUUUCAGGGUAGCGGAUUUGAGGAAUGGCUAGGGUAAACCUAACAUGAUAGGAAUAUCAACCUCUGGGCGCCUGCGUU
Molecule: signal recognition particle RNA, 272 nt
Filed under: Candidatus Woesearchaeota archaeon
Lineage: Archaea; Nanobdellati; Candidatus Woesearchaeota
Description: signal recognition particle sRNA
Rfam family: Archaeal signal recognition particle RNA
Source: RNAcentral